UAAGCCACCAGCCACCAUGGAAGAAACCUCUACUCACCUUCAAUGACCAGAAUUGGGGAGUGGCCAUUCUUCAGCCUCUGUAGUGAGGAGAGUUGGAAUCCACUGUAGUGAGAACAGGCUUGCCCAUGGUUCCACCAGGCCCAUUUGUGAAGCAGCAAGGCUAAUGUGGCAGAGAUGGAACAAAAUCUGAGUUUUUUGGGGAAAGAAGGAAGGAAGGAGGGAAGGAAGGAAGGAAGGAUGGAAGGAAGUAAGAAUGAAUGCUAGAUGAAUACACAGUUCCAAGAUCUUAAAUUAGGAAGAGUUUAAGACUGGCCUCAAUUAAUCCUCUUCGUUAUAAACAUUAACCUAUUGCUAACAUGCCUUUUAUACCUUAUGAUGCAAAAAGAAUGUCAGUCUCCUUCCCAGCCCCGCAUUCCACCGCAAAAGAUCUGUUAUUUAGCAUCUGUAUAUGUCAAGCUCCAGGAAAAGAGGUUUGAGAAGGAGAAAACUCACUCUGUCCUGAUUUAAUUGUUCUAUUUAUGCUACAAAUGCUUCCCACUUUUCAACAGUCUUCCUCCUGUCUGGAAUAGCCAGUCUGAGGGAGUGGGCUCCACGUGGUAGCAAGUCCUUUCCAGUAUGUGUGCCUUAUCUCCCUGUGGUCCCCUUAUCUCCCUCUGGUCAUGAGGGUGGCACGGCCCUUUUCCCUAUAAAUCAUCAAACAUCAUCAAAAGUGUUUGCAGCCCCAACUUUGUGGACAGGCUGAGGAGAGUUGGAAUUGACCCCUCUACUGCUUCUUAGAAAUGGAAUCUUGGCCAAUGAUUUCACCUCCUUCUUUUUCCAUUUGCCUCUCUCUAGCAGAAAUCAUGAUAAUAACUCCCAUUCCCUAGGAUUGCGGAGAAGAUGAAAAAAGGGGAAGCCAGUGAACACCUAGCCACAGAGCCUCAUGCGGGGGAAGUGCCUAACAGUUAUUGAUGGUUGUUAUUUUUAAGUUCAUAGGAAUAUAGGUAUUAUUAUGAUGUCAUCUAGAAAAUUCCAAAGCAGCCAGUGAAGCUGAGCUGGUGCUUCCACCCCCAGGAGAGCAGGAGAGACGCCACUCAGCACCCGCAGGGACACAGCAUCACAUGGCCCCGAGGAGGAAGCCGAGAGUCUUGACUGCACUUGAUUCAGCAGAGACUGUCUGCCAACAAGCCAUCAGGACAACUUACCAGCUGUACAAAUGACUGCUUCCUCUUUGCCAGGGCCAGUGAGCUUGAAGACCUGCCCAGCCAGUGGGCUCCCUGUCACAGUCGCAGACAAAGAAUGUAUUCCUCAAACCCCACAACGAGGUCUGCUGUAAAGUCGUGGUGGAGAACUGCAGGUAGAAGCUAAAUUUAAACUUGAAACCAUACCUGAUAAUUACUACCUUCAAUCCCCUGCUGAAAAUGAGUCAACAAAUCACCUUGGUCAUUAACUGUAACCAAGGCAGGAUCCUCUGAAAGUCUGCUUAGAAAGGAAGAACAGCCCUGGUUUCCAGCCAACGUGGGUUUCAGGGAAUGUUCUGCUGCUUCCUGGCUACGGAGCUUUUGCAAAGACCAGAGGAGCUGUGUCAGUUCUGAUGGACAACAGCAUGUCCACAUGCAGUAUCUGGACAGUCUGGGUCUUGAGGUACAAGGUUGACCAUGUAGAAGAGAAGAUGGUAGAGCCCCAGGUUCUUGAUGCUAUUGUUGGGAAACUGAAUCAAGACAUUGGAAAGUGGUCUUACUUCUAGAAGGUUUGGUAUCUGAGGCAAGUCCUGCUAUGGUUUAAGCCAUUGUGAGUGGGGUUUCUGUCGCCUCAGUUAGAAGUGUGCUAACUGGUGUACUGGGCACUCAGGAGGAGCAGCUGAUGGUGCAUGUGAAGUGUUUUGUGUGGUCCGUGAUAAGUGGAGUUGAUAUGGAGGGAAGCGUCCCACACAUCACCAUCUCUGUGUCUUUGCCACGAUGUUUUCUCUACUUGGUACAGAGUGAUGCAAUUUUCACUUGUAGGGAAAGAACUAAGGGAAUAGGAUACAGAAAGACCAAAGGUCUUAACAAUCACAUAGGAAUGAGAAGCACAGAUGGAGGCUGUCCCUGGCCUUUGCCAAGCCCUGGGCUGACCCCAGUAAUCAAGCACAGAAUCCCUUUCCAUGCCUGGAAACUCUCAGGACAGGAAUGGGCAACCGUAAGGGCUCACCUAAUUUGUUUCCCUUCUCUUAGGGAUCACUCUCCA
Molecule: non-coding RNA, 2205 nt
Organism: Ictidomys tridecemlineatus (thirteen-lined ground squirrel)
Lineage: Eukaryota; Metazoa; Chordata; Mammalia; Rodentia; Sciuridae
Source: RefSeq, a predicted model, not a curated record